CAUAAUCAGCCUGCUGGCAGCCUUUCCAUGUCAGUAAGCAGAACAAUAUCAAAUGAAGUUGUUGCAGAGUGUAUUAAAACUUCAAACAACAGCGAACAGUAGCGUUAUUACUUUAUCUGACUGUGAAUAGCAUAGCUCUGCGAACAACAGAGAAGCUUCACAGUUGCACUGUUUAAGUGAAAAUCAGACUGCAGCUAUUGUUAGUAACAAUAUAUACACUAAAAGUGCUUCCACGAGUUCUGGAAAUGUUAGCAGUCUACAGAAUGCUGUUUUACAUCGAGAGGAAGUAAAUAAUAUUUUUUUGGACAAGAAUACGAAACGGAAUUUUUCUUUGAAAAAUCCCCUACCUUACAAAAUACAGUUGAGGAGUAUGUCACAGGAAUAACAAGUCUUUAAAGCAGCAUUUAUGUUAUAGAACAUAGCCUAAUAGAUCUGAUUUUUCUACACGUGUUGGUACUUUUCCAAGAAGACGUUGUACUGCAUAUUCAGUCGUUUUGAAAGUUAUGAAGCAAUUAGGCAUAUUGCUGAGAAAUAUCACAUUAAGAGAAGGUGAG
Protopterus annectens (West African lungfish) is the source of this 554-nucleotide long non-coding RNA. RefSeq lists it as uncharacterized. The record is from RefSeq and is a predicted model, not a curated record. The transcript is spliced from 3 exons. NCBI's taxonomy places the organism in Eukaryota, Metazoa, Chordata, Ceratodontiformes, Protopteridae.